CCCUGCAUUUGAAAGUGAUUGUGGGCUGCCAGUGUCCUGACCAUUGAUAAGGCAGGAGAGCAAUUGCUGAAAGCAUUCUCCCAUGUUUGGGGGGUCCACUUCUGUGUCUUCCAAACCCUGGAGCUUUCUCACA
Pteronotus mesoamericanus is the source of this 133-nucleotide small nucleolar RNA. RefSeq annotates it as small nucleolar RNA SNORA71. The transcript has a single exon. NCBI's taxonomy places the organism in Eukaryota, Metazoa, Chordata, Mammalia, Chiroptera, Mormoopidae. The record is from RefSeq and is a predicted model, not a curated record.